This 110-nucleotide microRNA precursor is filed under the name Choloepus hoffmanni (Hoffmann's two-fingered sloth). RNAcentral's name for it is "microRNA 7-3 (ENSCHOG00000014526.1)". The stretch from base 16 to 102 matches the Rfam family "mir-7 microRNA precursor family". From Rfam's summary of the family: This family represents the microRNA (miRNA) precursor mir-7. In this case the mature sequence comes from the 5' arm of the precursor. The record is from RNAcentral. Lineage: Eukaryota; Metazoa; Chordata; Mammalia; Pilosa; Megalonychidae.
AAACCGAAGCAGUUGCGGUCUAGUGCUGUAUGGAAGACUAGUGAUUUUGUUGUUCUAAUAUACUAUGACAACAAGUCACAGCCGGCCUCACAGCAUGGACUCCUGUCGAC